RNAcentral lists this ribosomal RNA (497 nucleotides) under uncultured bacterium. RNAcentral's name for it is "partial 16S ribosomal RNA". It matches the Rfam family "Bacterial small subunit ribosomal RNA", at positions 28 to 507 of the family's 1533-position model. The record is from RNAcentral.
GAUGAACGCUGGCGGCGUGCCUAAUACAUGCAAGUCGAGCGAACGGACGAGAAGCUUGCUUCUCUGAUGUUAGCGGCGGACGGGUGAGUAACACGUGGAUAACCUACCUAUAAGACUGGGAUAACUUCGGGAAACCGGAGCUAAUACCGGAUAAUAUUUUGAACCGCAUGGUUCAAAAGUGAAAGACGGUCUUGCUGUCACUUAUAGAUGGAUCCGCGCUGCAUUAGCUAGUUGGUAGGGUAACGGCUUACCAAGGCAACGAUGCAUAGCCGACCUGAGAGGGUGAUCGGCCACACUGGAACUGAGACACGGUCCAGACUCCUACGGGAGGCAGCAGUAGGGAAUCUUCCGCAAUGGGCGAAAGCCUGACGGAGCAACGCCGCGUGAGUGAUGAAGGUCUUCGGAUCGUAAAACUCUGUUAUUAGGGAAGUACAUAUGUGUAAGUAACUGUGCACAUCUUGACGGUACCUAAUCAGAAAGCCACGGCUAACUACGUG